This is a long non-coding RNA of Cicer arietinum (chickpea), 669 nucleotides long. RefSeq lists it as uncharacterized. Lineage: Eukaryota; Viridiplantae; Streptophyta; Magnoliopsida; Fabales; Fabaceae. The record is from RefSeq and is a predicted model, not a curated record.
UCCAAUUAUCACCAAGCAACCAAGAAAACAAAAGCCAAGUUUGAAAUUUCAAAGGAACAAAGACUCAAGUUUCUUUUUAAAUUUUUCAGUAAUCACCUCUGCUCCAGGUGAGAGAAACACGUAUCAGAGUUUCAUGGCUAGCUUAAACUAGGCACCACCAUUUCCUAUGGAGAUCGAAAUUAAGGAAGAAUGAGUGGUUUUGUUUGAUCCUAUGAUACAUGUCGCUCUCACCUGGAGCAGAGCUGCCUAAUGCUUUGAUAACAUCAUGAGAGAAUUAAGAAGCUGCUAUCAAAUUAAGUUGAAAAAGUCAAGUUUUCUCAAGAUGUGGAUGCACAUGUUUGUGAUUGUGUCGAGGUAAAUUCAUCAUAAACAAAAGUGUUGAUUCUUUCAUAUUGUAUUUUGCUCUCAUGUAUUUUAAUUUGACUAUGUAUUGAGAACAUGUUGGCAAUUAUGGCACCAUUAUUGAUUUAGACAGGUGAACAAUUUGAACAUUAUAUGACAAUCUACAUAGUUCAUAAUGUAUAUAGUUUAGAUCCAAAAGAGAUGUAGUGAAAUAUGUAUAUAAAUUAGUGUAAUUUUACUUGAUGUUGGCUAAUUGAAAAUUCAAUUUGGUCACCUAAUCUAGAACUGAACGUGCAAACAAGUUUUUGGUAACUUGAAAAUUCUCCA